This 776-nucleotide ribosomal RNA is filed under the name uncultured marine bacterium. RNAcentral's name for it is "bacterial SSU rRNA". It matches the Rfam family "Bacterial small subunit ribosomal RNA", at positions 97 to 869 of the family's 1533-position model. The record is from RNAcentral.
GGCGGACGGGUGAGUAACGCUUAGGAAUCUACCUAGUAGAAGGGGAUAGCCCGGGGAAACCCGGAUUAAUACCGUAUACCUCCUUCGGGAGAAAGAAGGCCUCUCUUUGAAGCUUUCGCUAUUAGAUGAGCCUGCGUAAGAUUAGCUUGUUGGUGAGGUAAAGGCUCACCAAGGCGACGAUCUUUAGCUGGUCUGAGAGGACGAUCAGCCACAUUGGGACUGAGACACGGCCCAGACUCCUACGGGAGGCAGCAGUGGGGAAUAUUGGACAAUGGGCGCAAGCCUGAUCCAGCCAUACCGCGUGUGUGAAGAAGGCCUUCGGGUUGUAAAGCACUUUAAGCAGGGAGAAAAAGUUAUAAGUUAAUACCUUAUAACCGUGAUGUUACCUGCAGAAUAAGCACCGGCUAAUUCCGUGCCAGCAGCCGCGGUAAUACGGAAGGUGCAAGCGUUAAUCGGAAUUACUGGGCGUAAGCGCGCGUAGGUGGUUUGUUAAGUUGGAUGUGAAAGCCCUGGGCUCAACCCAGGAACUGCAUCCAAAACUAACUCACUAGAGUACGAUAGAGGGAGGUAGAAUUCAUAGUGUAGCGGUGGAAUGCGUAGAUAUUAUGAAGAAUACCAGUGGCGAAGGCGGCCUCCUGGAUCUGUACUGACACUGAGGUGCGAAAGCGUGGGUAGCGAACAGGAUUAGAUACCCUGGUAGUCCACGCCGUANACGAUGACAACUAGCUGUUGGAAGACAAAGUCUUUCAGUGGCGCAGCUAACGUUUUAAGUUGUC